RNAcentral lists this ribosomal RNA (484 nucleotides) under uncultured bacterium. RNAcentral's name for it is "partial 16S ribosomal RNA". It matches the Rfam family "Bacterial small subunit ribosomal RNA", at positions 29 to 507 of the family's 1533-position model. The record is from RNAcentral.
AUUGAACGCUGGCGGCAUGCUUUACACAUGCAAGUCGAACGGCAGCGCGGGCUUCGGCCUGGCGGCGAGUGGCGAACGGGUGAGUAAUACAUCGGAACGUGCCCAGUAGUGGGGGAUAGCUCGGCGAAAGCCGGAUUAAUACCGCAUACGACCUGCGGGUGAAAGCGGGGGAUCUUCGGACCUCGCGCUAUUGGAGCGGCCGAUGGCAGAUUAGCUAGUUGGUGGGGUAAAGGCCUACCAAGGCGACGAUCUGUAGCUGGUCUGAGAGGACGACCAGCCACACUGGGACUGAGACACGGCCCAGACUCCUACGGGAGGCAGCAGUGGGGAAUGUUGGACAAUGGGCGAAAGCCUGAUCCAGCAAUGCCGCGUGUGUGAUGAAGGCCUUCGGGUUGGAAAGCACUCUUGGCGGGAACGAAAAGGACUGUGCCAAUACCACGGUUCGAUGACGGUACCCGCAGAAUAAGCACCGGCUAACUACGUG